GACGAACGCUGGCGGCGUGCUUAACACAUGCAAGUCGAACGGAAAGGCCCUGCUUUUGUGGGGUGCUCGAGUGGCGAACGGGUGAGUAACACGUGAGUAACCUGCCCUUGACUUUGGGAUAACUUCAGGAAACUGGGGCUAAUACCGGAUAGGAGCUCCUGCUGCAUGGUGGGGGUUGGAAAGUUUCGGCGGUUGGGGAUGGACUCGCGGCUUAUCAGCUUGUUGGUGGGGUAGUGGCUUACCAAGGCUUUGACGGGUAGCCGGCUUGAGAGGGUGACCGGCCACAUUGGGACUGAGAUACGGCCCAGACUCCUACGGGAGGCAGCAGUGGGGAAUAUUGCACAAUGGGCGGAAGCCUGAUGCAGCAACGCCGCGUGCGGGAUGACGGCCUUCGGGUGGUAAACCGCUUUCGCCUGUGACGAAGCGUGAGUGACGGUAAUGGGUAAAGAAGCACCGGCUAACUACGU
RNAcentral lists this ribosomal RNA (467 nucleotides) under uncultured bacterium. RNAcentral's name for it is "partial 16S ribosomal RNA". It matches the Rfam family "Bacterial small subunit ribosomal RNA", at positions 28 to 506 of the family's 1533-position model. The record is from RNAcentral.